Molecule: ribosomal RNA, 558 nt
Filed under: Cortinarius casimirii
Lineage: Eukaryota; Fungi; Basidiomycota; Agaricomycetes; Agaricales; Cortinariaceae
Description: eukaryotic LSU rRNA
Rfam family: Eukaryotic large subunit ribosomal RNA
Source: RNAcentral
GUGACCUCAAAUCAGGUAGGACUACCCGCUGAACUUAAGCAUAUCAAUAAGCGGAGGAAAAGAAACUAACAAGGAUUCCCCUAGUAACUGCGAGUGAAGCGGGAAAAGCUCAAAUUUAAAAUCUGGCGGUCUUWUGGCUGUCCGAGUUGUAAUCUAGAGAAGUGUUAUCCGCGCUGGACCGUGUACAAGUCUCCUGGAAUGGAGCAUCAUAGAGGGUGAGAAUCCCGUCUUUGACAUGGACUGCCAGGGCUUUGUGAUGYGCUCUCAAAGAGUCGAGUUGUUUGGGAAUGCAGCUCAAAAUGGGUGGUAAAUUCCAUCUAAAGCUAAAUAUUGGCGAGAGACCGAUAGCGAACAAGUACCGUGAGGGAAAGAUGAAAAGAACUUUGGAAAGAGAGUUAAACAGUACGUGAAAUUGCUGAAAGGGAAACGCUUGAAGUCAGUCGCGUCAUCCAGGGAUCAACCUUGCUUUUGCUUGGUGCACUUCCUGGUUUGAUGGGUCAGCAUCAAUUUUGACUAUUGGAAAAAGGCUGAGGGAAUGUGGCAUCUUCGGAUGUGUUU